UGAUUCAAUUAACACUCACCGAUGUGCCCUUCUACCAAAUUGGGGCAUGAAAUUUUCUUCGUUUUGCCUAUUCUGUUGGAAUCAGGCGCCCACCUGGAGAGCAAGGGAGAACAACACGAGUGUCAAGGAUAGCAAGCAGUUCAAGUUCAAGCAAUCAGGCACCCACUUGGAGAAACAAGGGAAGACAGUUCAAAGGAAAAGCAGUGGCAAGAGGAAGUAGUUCAAGCUCAGCAAUCAGGAGCCCACCUGGAGAACAAAGGGAAAACAAAUCAAGUUCCGAGGAAAAGCAGUUAAAGUUUUGGCAAUCAGGAGUCCACCUGGAGAUCAAAGGGAAAAACAAUUCAAGUGUUGGUAAUCAGGAGUUCACCUGGAGAACAAAGGGAAAGCAAUUUAAGUGUUGGUAAUCAGGAGCUCACCUGGAGAACAAAAGAAAAGCAAUUUGAGUGUUGGUAAUCAGUAGCCCACCUGGAGAACAAAGGAAAAACAAUUCAAGUAUUGGUAAUCAGGAGCCCACCUGGAGAACAAAGGGAAAGCAAUUGGUAAUUAGGAGCCCACCUGGAGAAUAAAGGGAAAGCAAUUCGAGUGUUGGUAAUCAGGAUCCUACCUGGAGAACAAAGGGAAAGCAAUUCAAGUGUUGGUAAUCAGGAGCACAACUAGAGAACAAAGGGAGAGCGGUUCAAGUUUUGGAAAUCAGGCAUCCACCUGGAGAACAAAGGGAGAGCAAUUCAAGUGUUAAAAUUAGGAUCCCACCUGGAGAACAAAGGAAAACAGAUCAAGUCUCAAGGAAAAACAGUGCAAAUGUUGGUAAUCAGUCACCCACCUGGAGAACAAAGGAAAAACAAUUCAAGUUUCAGAGAAAAGGAAUACAAUUCAAGUUCAGCAAUCAGGCGCCCACAUGGAAAACAAAGGGAAAACGAGGCGAGUUUCGGAAGGAAAGGAAGAUAAUUCAAAGUUCAACAAUCAGGUGCCCGCCUGGAGAACAAAGGGAAAGCACCUUAGAAUACAAUUCAAGUCAGCACCAAAGGAAUUUCACUGGGAGAGUGCAAGUCAACGGAGCAGCAGAAAUUGCAAGAUCAAGUUUGAAGAUGUAUAGAUAGGAUUCUUUUAAUUCAUAAAUCAUAGUUUAGUCUAGCUUCUUUUAUUUUGUCUUGGUGUAAUAAGGGGUUCAGCAAGCAGUAGCAGCAGCAGCGAUAGUGAAAUCGCAACUUCCUAGUAGUCCCAGCUACCAAAACUUUCCGAACUACACUGACCUGAUUCCUUUAUAGCCAAGAAUAUGUAGGCAACCUCGAAAGUAGGGUGCGGUCAAAUCUUUCAAAAAUGCUUCCCGCGGAGUAUUCAAACGGGCAAAAAUCGCUCGUAUCCGCUCACUUUAUCUUCGCACGAAAACUCUUCGUGUUUCCGAGCAAAG
RNAcentral lists this long non-coding RNA (1408 nucleotides) under Nicotiana tabacum (common tobacco). RNAcentral describes it as "long non-coding RNA (NTAB_LNC015521)". Lineage: Eukaryota; Viridiplantae; Streptophyta; Magnoliopsida; Solanales; Solanaceae. The record is from RNAcentral.